GUGACGGUUAUUCCUCCUGCGCGGGAGCUUUGGGGACGCACUUCUGGAUGCCUAGGCCUCUUCCGUUUGCCUCUGGGACUGGCGAUACUCGAGAUGUCUUGAGGCCUUCCAGACCUUGCUCCACCUCCACCACCAGGUCUCCAGUCCUGAGCCACAUGCUGCCAUUUUUGUCUCAGAAGCACCCCUCUUCCAGGUGGAAGAUUGAAGGUCUGAAGAGUGGGAAGUCCCAGGAACAGGCAAUUCCAGGAAGAUAUGAGGAAAAUCAAGAAAGAGAAGGAAACUGAAGCUAGUGGGAAGUGCUUCAAGUUGGAGAUGAUGCUGAGAUGGCCAAAAAUUUUCAAACCUGAGUGAAUGAAUGAAUAAACGGACCUGGGAAUUGAUCAACAAUGGCUGCUGCAUCGCGUAAAGAGAGACGACCAGGUACGGUAUGCCUCCUGAUGGGAAAAAUGCCACCAGUCAUGAAGUAGUCUUUCCCCCUCAUCCCCUGAGAAAAUCAAACCGGAAUUUGAUUAAGCCUCUAGAUCCAACUUCCAUGCAUAGGAAAAUCUGAGGGCAGAAUUAUCUAAGUCGCAGUUACCAUUAGAGCACAAAAGACAAAAUCCAGCAUGUGAAAGGUCUCCAGAAGAAAGGCGUUGAAUAGAGGGCAAGAGUGUGUGCAUGAAGGGGAGUCUAUCAUCACAGACACUCAGGAGACAGACAUAUUGACCAAACACAAUGUGUGGGUCACAUUGCAUCCUGAUUCAAAUGAACUACUAAAAACUCUGUAGCACCUGGGAGGCAAUUAGAAAUUUGAACACUGAGUAUGUAUUACUAUUUGAUAAAUAAUGAGUAAGACAAAUUUCAAUAUAACACUAAUAAGGAAUUAUUAAGUAUGUGAUAAUGGCAUUGCAGCUAUAUCAGAAAAGAUAAAGUGUCUUUGAAAUUCAGACUUGCACUGGUUGUCUAUAAUAAAAACCAUAAAACGUCAGUGGCAUACGACAGGAAGACUUGAUUGUUCACAACUCUGGGCCGUCUGGCUAGGUGGCUCUAUUGAUCUUGGCUAUAUGUGGCUGAGCAAUUCUCCUUUCUGCCUGAAUUGCUUACACAGGUGUCAGCUGGCUGUCAACUGAUCUAGGAUGGUCUUGGAGGGACAACGAGGGCAACCCCAUGUCUCUUCUUUAGCAGGCCAGCCCAGACAUGCUUUCAUGGCUGAAUAGGAGCCAGCCUGGUCAUGGGAGCAAUUUUCAAGCAAGUCUCUGCUUGAAUGUCACAUUUACUAACAUCCUGUUGGCCAAGGUGCAUCCCAUGGCUGAGCCCAGUGUCCAAGUGAAAGGGCACCAGGAAGUUCCCUGCAGCGCUGUGGGUACUGGAAGAAUGGGCGCCAUCUUCAUGACAGCAGCAUGCUAAGUUACAGAAAGUGAGCGGCGUUCUAGACAAAGCAAGCUCAUCUGUGAAUGGAUCAUGGCGGAAACCUGACCACAGUAUGUUGGGAUUUAUGUGUUUGACAUUUUCUAUAAUAGAAAGGCAGAUCAAAAAUAAGGCUCCAGUGCCUCCACUCAGGAAAGCUCAAGUAGGUUUUCUUGAGAAUUUUUAGUGGAUACCCUGUUUUGCAAUGUUCUUUUCUUUUUCUAAUGAGGCUGAACCAGAUUGUAAUGCCAUGAGGCUUCUACAUGGAGAGCUGGACGUUGGUGAGGAUUGGGUGGAGAAGGCCGGGUGGAGGCUGGGCCUGGGAGAAGAGCAGCAGAUUCCCAAACGUACUGGUAUUGGUGCAUACUCUGAGAAAGACAUCUCAGAGCACUUCUGCCGUCAGUUACGAAGUUUCAAUAUAAGAAUUCUUUCU
RNAcentral lists this long non-coding RNA (1819 nucleotides) under Homo sapiens (human). RNAcentral describes it as "non-protein coding lnc-QKI-2:2". Lineage: Eukaryota; Metazoa; Chordata; Mammalia; Primates; Hominidae. The record is from RNAcentral.